Molecule: long non-coding RNA, 1382 nt
Organism: Dendrobium catenatum
Lineage: Eukaryota; Viridiplantae; Streptophyta; Magnoliopsida; Asparagales; Orchidaceae
Exons: 3
Source: RefSeq, a predicted model, not a curated record
AUAAAAUUUAUUUCCCUUAUAAUAUAUCAAAUGUAACUCAUUUAUCACCUCUCUCUCAAUGCUAUGCCCGUAGAUCGCAUUUCAUGUUAUAAGAUUUUAGCGACCGACUCUCCAUUACUAAAAAUAUAAGAUUUUUGCAGCAUUUUUUUAUACCAGUUUUAAAAUUGGAGCUAUAAAUUGAUAUAAACAGCAGUUUUAACCGCUACUAAAAAAAUUAUUUAAAACUUAAUUUUUUAAUAGUGAUUUAUAGAAGCGGUUUGUCGCCGUUAUUCUUUGUGCCCUAGCUCUCGCUCGACUAUGUUCCGCGUUCGUCUCCCUGCGGCCAUAUAAUCCACCGGGAAGUAACAGAGAUUGUCGACGACGAGGCAGUGAAGGCAAUUAGGGUGAAUCAUGAGAUGGUCGAGAUGAUGUCAUGUUGCCGCUUGGAGUUUCGUCUCUGGUCUCAUUUUUUUUUUCCUCAUUUUUCCCAUUUCGGAGAGGAUUGUUAGUGAGGAACUGGGAGUUCUCACUGCUCUGCUUCUUUUAGUCGGCUAGGUCUUCAUGAUCCAGUAGAAUCAGAGAUCUUUGUUUGGCUGUGGGUUUAGAUCCGGUGAGGCUUCUACGGUUCGCUGAAUACUUCUUUGAAGUAAUGUGCCUAGCUUUCGGUUUGCAAUGAAAAUAUUUUCAGUUUGCAUUUUGAAUUCGGAGCACGAAUCAAAACGCUUGUGUAACAGAAACAUUUCUUGUCUUGUUCUGUUGCUAAUUUAUGAUUUAUUGUGAGUUAUGAAUUUAGAUGAUUAUUGCGCUUAUUUUUGGAGCAGAUUAGCAAAGGAGCAUUUGGCUCCGCUCUUAUCGUGAAGCACAAGGUGGAAAAGAAAAAGUAUGUCCUGAAGAAAUCAGACUUGCUCGGUAGAUAGAUAGGAACCGCAGGUUUGCAUAUCUGGAGGUUACUUUUGGAGAGCUAUGGACUACUGUGCUGGAAUUUCAUGGAGGGAUAUUACAAUCCGACAAUGAUGAGCUAGGCCAUUCCCCUUUAUUGCCAUGGAUGGCCUACUUGGCAACCUGGCUUGAAAUCUAUCUUGAUGUUGGCUGCUGGAGGUUCUGUGAAGGCCUUUCUCCUAUGCUGUUGCAACGUUAUGCUCUAGAUCUUAGGCUACCUGAUCCUCCGGCGCGGUUUUCGUGAGCUUAUCACUGAUCUUAUGAUGUUUUGGGGUUUUGGUCUUUUUUCUUUCUGAGUCCUUAUGAUUGUAAUAUCCUCCACUUGAUGCUCCUUUUUUUGGCAAGCUGGUUGGAUAUCUUUUGUUGGCUGAUGCUUUAAUUUUCUCUUCACAGGUUUACUUGUAAUUUUUCGUUCAUUCUAAUAUAUGGGCUUUCUGCCCCGGGUUUACCCAAAAAAAAAAAAA